RNAcentral lists this ribosomal RNA (468 nucleotides) under uncultured bacterium. RNAcentral describes it as "partial 16S ribosomal RNA". It matches the Rfam family "Bacterial small subunit ribosomal RNA", at positions 28 to 507 of the family's 1533-position model. The record is from RNAcentral.
GACGAACGCUGGCGGCGUGCUUAACACAUGCAAGUCGAACGGAAAGGCCCUGCUUUUGUGGGUUGCUCGAUUGGCGAACGGGUGAGUAACACGUGAGUAACCUGCCCUUGACUUUGGGAUAACUUCAGGAAACUGGGGCUAAUACCGGAUAGGAUCUCCUGCUGCAUGGUGGUGGUUGGAAAGUUUCGGCGGUUGGGGAUGGACUCGCGGCUUAUCAGCUUGUUUGUGGGGUAGUUGCUUACCAAGGCUUUGACGGGUAGCCGGCCUGAGAGGGUGACCGGGGAAAUUGGGACGAAGAUACGGACCAGAAUGCUACGGGAGGCAGCAGUGGGGAAUAGUGCACAAGGGGAGGAAGCGUGAAGCAGCAAAGCCGCGUGCGGGAUGACGGCCUUCGGGUUGUAAACCGAUUUCGACUGUGACGAAGCGAGAGUGACGGUAAUGGGUAAAGAAGCAACGGCUAAGUACGUG